This 73-nucleotide transfer RNA is filed under the name Yarrowia lipolytica CLIB122. Its description in RNAcentral is "tRNA YALI0_E15950r". It matches the Rfam family "tRNA". Rfam says of the family: Transfer RNA (tRNA) molecules are approximately 80 nucleotides in length. Their secondary structure includes four short double-helical elements and three loops (D, anti-codon, and T loops). Lineage: Eukaryota; Fungi; Ascomycota; Dipodascomycetes; Dipodascales. The record is from RNAcentral.
GGGUCAUUAGUAUAGUGGUAGUAUGCCUGCUUCGGGCUUGCAGGUGACCCCGGUUCAAACCCGGGAUGACCCC